RNAcentral lists this ribosomal RNA (324 nucleotides) under uncultured eukaryote. RNAcentral's name for it is "partial 18S ribosomal RNA". It matches the Rfam family "Eukaryotic small subunit ribosomal RNA", at positions 1470 to 1796 of the family's 1831-position model. The record is from RNAcentral.
CCCUUAGAUGUUCUGGGCCGCACGCGCGCUACACUGAUGCAUUCAACGAGUUUCUUCCUGGUCCGAGAGGAAUGGGUAGCCUUUUGAAAGUGCAUCGUGAUAGGGAUAGACUAUUGCAAUUAUUGGUCUUCAACGAGGAAUUCCUAGUAGACGUAGUUCAUCAGACUGCAUCGAUUACGUCCCUGCCCUUUGUACACACCGCCCGUCGCUCCUACCGAUUGAAUGCUCAGGUGAGCCAUUCGGACUUUCAUCAUGCCGGUUUCCAGUUUUGAUGAAGGAAAGUCUUGCGAACCUUAUCAUUUAGAGGAAGGAGAAGUCGUAACA